CCAGUUCGGAUUGUAGGCUGCAACUCGCCUACAUGAAGUCGGAGUUGCUAGUAAUCGCGGAUCAGAAUGCCGCGGUGAAUGCGUUCCCGGGUCUUGUACACACCGCCCGUCACACCAUGGAAGUUGGGGGCGCCCGAAGUUGGUCGAGGAAUAGAUUACCUAAGGCGAAACCAAUGACUGGGGUGAAGUCGUAACAAGGUAAC
RNAcentral lists this ribosomal RNA (203 nucleotides) under uncultured bacterium. RNAcentral's name for it is "partial 16S ribosomal RNA". It matches the Rfam family "Bacterial small subunit ribosomal RNA", at positions 1288 to 1500 of the family's 1533-position model. The record is from RNAcentral.